GCAGAGCUUUUGCUUUACCUAAUAAACUGUCUUUACCUCAACCCAUGAGUUCUCACACUUGUACCUUUCCAGUUCUGUCCCCCAUCCCACUUGGGGAGAGUGAGUCAGUGGCUGUGUGGCACUGAACUGCCUGUUGGGUUAAACAUCACAAUGAAUUGAUUUAU
Oxyura jamaicensis (ruddy duck) is the source of this 164-nucleotide long non-coding RNA. RefSeq lists it as uncharacterized. NCBI's taxonomy places the organism in Eukaryota, Metazoa, Chordata, Aves, Anseriformes, Anatidae. The transcript has 3 exons. The record is from RefSeq and is a predicted model, not a curated record.